RNAcentral lists this ribosomal RNA (89 nucleotides) under Gastrolobium capitatum. Lineage: Eukaryota; Viridiplantae; Streptophyta; Magnoliopsida; Fabales; Fabaceae. The record is from RNAcentral.
GGAUCCCAUCAGAACUCCGCAAUUAAGCGUGCUUGGGCGAGAGUAGUACUAGGAUAGGUGACCUCCUGGGAAGUCCUCGUGUUGCACCU